This 74-nucleotide transfer RNA is filed under the name bacterium (Candidatus Torokbacteria) CG_4_10_14_0_2_um_filter_35_8. RNAcentral's name for it is "tRNA-Ala". It matches the Rfam family "tRNA". Rfam says of the family: Transfer RNA (tRNA) molecules are approximately 80 nucleotides in length. Their secondary structure includes four short double-helical elements and three loops (D, anti-codon, and T loops). The record is from RNAcentral.
GGGCCGUUAGCUCAGUUGGCUAGAGCGUCUGUUUUGCACACAGGAGGUCAAGGGUUCGAAUCCCUUACGGUCCA